Cyclopterus lumpus (lumpfish) is the source of this 725-nucleotide long non-coding RNA. RefSeq lists it as uncharacterized. The record is from RefSeq and is a predicted model, not a curated record. NCBI's taxonomy places the organism in Eukaryota, Metazoa, Chordata, Actinopteri, Perciformes, Cyclopteridae. The transcript is spliced from 2 exons.
UCUCUGGAUACUAAUAACACAGAGAGAAACGGGUGUACACUGCUUUCAUGUGGCACACAGUUGGAGAGGGGAGGAGAGACGCGUGUGUGUAACAAACAAGCUGCUCUCAACCAUCCAAACUCACAGGUUAGCCAACAGAAAGAGGGCGUAAGGAAGGAAAGCAUUGAGAGGGGCGCUUGCAAACAAUGUUAUCGAUGCCGUUAUUUCAUGUCAGCCACGUAGCACGCUCGCAGAAACGCACAACACCACGCGGUUAACGUUGUGAAACGAUUGGUUAACAAACUACUCGGUGAAGGUUCGAAACAAUAACAAGGACGGUGGAAUGACGCGACAACUAAGACAUGUGCCUUUCAGUGGGUGAGGCCCGACAGACGUCCACGUCCCCGGAUCCCGCUCCACCGUACCCACGAGUGUGCCGGGUGUGGACCCCUCAACCACAGAUCCACCGGGACACCUUCCAUGUUUGUCUAGGCUCUCACCUUCCUGUGCUGAGCCCUCAGCUUCCAGGUGUCAGAGAGGAAUGUCUGUGAACGUCACACAGAGACAGGCGGAGAGGGCCGACAGGCACUUGUAGGGACUUGCUGCUGCAUGUGCUCAUCUCACUGUGUCCACGUUUGACGGUGACAAACCUCACUUAACGGGCGCCUUCUUCGACAUCUCUUUACAGCGUGUCACAGUUAGGGGGACUUAUUGCCGGGGAAAUGGAAUAAAAAUAUUCAUAACUA